CCCCCAUGUUCAGUCCUAACACAUGCUAGCCUGACCACUAUUUCAUGUCACAAGUGACAAUUCAGCCCCUAAAAACAAACACAUGUAUUUCUACCGCGUGUAGCAGCAGUUCUACCUCAGAUAUACCCCCUAUAUAUAUAUAUAUAUAUUUAAAAGUGCGUGAAAGAUUGAGAAGGAUGGACCUCGCUAUGACCACAGGAUGUGGCCACUGGCCCUCUGUCCCUCCCCCCCCCGCUCACUGUCAAAUGGGUCAAACGGCCCCAUUGAAGCAUUACACCAACCCCACCUGUGGGUCUGCACCCAGCGGGGGAUGUCCGGGUGCGAGGGCGGGCAGGGAGAGGGGGGUGGGAGAGAGGCUGGUCAGUGUAAAUCUCUCACCUGUUGCCUGGGGCAGCUCUUCCAGUACAGCCACACGUCGGACUCCAUGAACACAACAUCCAGGAACGCCCGCUUGCCGUCUGCGGAACGCACCCACAGCAAUAAGACACUUAAAGUGUGCAUACAAUGACAGACACCUAUUUCGUUUUUUUCUUAGAAAUUAUUUGUGCACAGUACAAAACCAUAAUCAAGCCACCAUCAGUUAAGUUAGACACGAGCCAAUUAUCAAACUCAUACAAACGAUACAAUUCAUCCAAGUUAUCUCUCCUCCGCUCGUUUGAACACACGCUAAACGGCCCGGGCGUGAUUGAACGACGGGAUUAAACAAACCCGGAACAACAACAAAGCAAUCGGGUAGCAAUAAAUCCCCGAGCGCGUGGGUCCAGGUGGGCUGACCUCCGUCUGAGUCCGCCUCAGAGCGCCUGACGGGGCGGCUCCACAGCGGGACGCGCCAGCCCGUCCUGCAGGUGAGCCUGGAGCCCCCGCUCUUCAGGAACAGGAGGAGGAGGAGGAGGAGGAGGAGGAGGAGGAGGAGGAGGAGGAGGAGGAGGAGGAGAGGUAAGGACAGCGGCAGAGGCAGAGCGAUGGGAGCUGUGGGGAGCACAGCAACACAACGGCUCCCCCACGACCAGUGGAGAACUUUCUCUGUCAUCCAUGGAUGCGUCGAUAUCCCAGGUAGAAUAUUCCAUUUCUG
This 1072-nucleotide long non-coding RNA is filed under the name Gadus morhua (Atlantic cod). Its description in RNAcentral is "lncRNA (ENSGMOG00000028541.1)". Lineage: Eukaryota; Metazoa; Chordata; Actinopteri; Gadiformes; Gadidae. The record is from RNAcentral.